This 925-nucleotide ribosomal RNA is filed under the name Priestia megaterium. RNAcentral describes it as "bacterial SSU rRNA". It matches the Rfam family "Bacterial small subunit ribosomal RNA", at positions 56 to 963 of the family's 1533-position model. The record is from RNAcentral. Lineage: Bacteria; Bacillati; Bacillota; Bacilli; Caryophanales; Bacillaceae.
UGCAAGUCGAGCGAACUGAUUAGAAGCUUGCUUCUAUGACGUUAGCGGCGGACGGGUGAGUAACACGUGGGCAACCUGCCUGUAAGACUGGGAUAACUUCGGGAAACCGAAGCUAAUACCGGAUAGGAUCUUCUCCUUCAUGGGAGAUGAUUGAAAGAUGGUUUCGGCUAUCACUUACAGAUGGGCCCGCGGUGCAUUAGCUAGUUGGUGAGGUAACGGCUCACCAAGGCAACGAUGCAUAGCCGACCUGAGAGGGUGAUCGGCCACACUGGGACUGAGACACGGCCCAGACUCCUACGGGAGGCAGCAGUAGGGAAUCUUCCGCAAUGGACGAAAGUCUGACGGAGCAACGCCGCGUGAGUGAUGAAGGCUUUCGGGUCGUAAAACUCUGUUGUUAGGGAAGAACAAGUACAAGAGUAACUGCUUGUACCUUGACGGUACCUAACCAGAAAGCCACGGCUAACUACGUGCCAGCAGCCGCGGUAAUACGUAGGUGGCAAGCGUUAUCCGGAAUUAUUGGGCGUAAAGCGCGCGCAGGCGGUUUCUUAAGUCUGAUGUGAAAGCCCACGGCUCAACCGUGGAGGGUCAUUGGAAACUGGGGAACUUGAGUGCAGAAGAGAAAAGCGGAAUUCCACGUGUAGCGGUGAAAUGCGUAGAGAUGUGGAGGAACACCAGUGGCGAAGGCGGCUUUUUGGUCUGUAACUGACGCUGAGGCGCGAAAGCGUGGGGGAGCAAACAGGAUUAGAUACCCUGGUAGUCCACGCCGUAACGAUGAGUGCUAAGUGUUAGAGGGUUUCCGCCCUUUAGUGCUGCAGCUAACGCAUUAAGCACUCCGCCUGGGGAGUACGGUCGCAAGACUGAAACUCAAGGAAUUGACGGGGGCCCGCACAAGCGGUGGAGCAUGUGUUUAAUUCGAAGCAACGCG